Molecule: ribosomal RNA, 2925 nt
Filed under: Escherichia coli
Lineage: Bacteria; Pseudomonadati; Pseudomonadota; Gammaproteobacteria; Enterobacterales; Enterobacteriaceae
Description: bacterial LSU rRNA
Rfam family: Bacterial large subunit ribosomal RNA
Source: RNAcentral
GGGUUGUGAGGUUAAGCGACUAAGCGUACACGGUGGAUGCCCUGGCAGUCAGAGGCGAUGAAGGACGUGCUAAUCUGCGAUAAGCGUCGGUAAGGUGAUAUGAACCGUUAUAACCGGCGAUUUCCGAAUGGGGAAACCCAGUGUGUUUCGACACACUAUCAUUAACUGAAUCCAUAGGUUAAUGAGGCGAACCGGGGGAACUGAAACAUCUAAGUACCCCGAGGAAAAGAAAUCAACCGAGAUUCCCCCAGUAGCGGCGAGCGAACGGGGAGCAGCCCAGAGCCUGAAUCAGUGUGUGUGUUAGUGGAAGCGUCUGGAAAGGCGCGCGAUACAGGGUGACAGCCCCGUACACAAAAAUGCACAUGCUGUGAGCUCGAUGAGUAGGGCGGGACACGUGGUAUCCUGUCUGAAUAUGGGGGGACCAUCCUCCAAGGCUAAAUACUCCUGACUGACCGAUAGUGAACCAGUACCGUGAGGGAAAGGCGAAAAGAACCCCGGCGAGGGGAGUGAAAAAGAACCUGAAACCGUGUACGUACAAGCAGUGGGAGCACGCUUAGGCGUGUGACUGCGUACCUUUUGUAUAAUGGGUCAGCGACUUAUAUUCUGUAGCAAGGUUAACCGAAUAGGGGAGCCGAAGGGAAACCGAGUCUUAACUGGGCGUUAAGUUGCAGGGUAUAGACCCGAAACCCGGUGAUCUAGCCAUGGGCAGGUUGAAGGUUGGGUAACACUAACUGGAGGACCGAACCGACUAAUGUUGAAAAAUUAGCGGAUGACUUGUGGCUGGGGGUGAAAGGCCAAUCAAACCGGGAGAUAGCUGGUUCUCCCCGAAAGCUAUUUAGGUAGCGCCUCGUGAAUUCAUCUCCGGGGGUAGAGCACUGUUUCGGCAAGGGGGUCAUCCCGACUUACCAACCCGAUGCAAACUGCGAAUACCGGAGAAUGUUAUCACGGGAGACACACGGCGGGUGCUAACGUCCGUCGUGAAGAGGGAAACAACCCAGACCGCCAGCUAAGGUCCCAAAGUCAUGGUUAAGUGGGAAACGAUGUGGGAAGGCCCAGACAGCCAGGAUGUUGGCUUAGAAGCAGCCAUCAUUUAAAGAAAGCGUAAUAGCUCACUGGUCGAGUCGGCCUGCGCGGAAGAUGUAACGGGGCUAAACCAUGCACCGAAGCUGCGGCAGCGACGCUGAUGCGUUGUUGGGUAGGGGAGCGUUCUGUAAGCCUGCGAAGGUGUGCUGUGAGGCAUGCUGGAGGUAUCAGAAGUGCGAAUGCUGACAUAAGUAACGAUAAAGCGGGUGAAAAGCCCGCUCGCCGGAAGACCAAGGGUUCCUGUCCAACGUUAAUCGGGGCAGGGUGAGUCGACCCCUAAGGCGAGGCCGAAAGGCGUAGUCGAUGGGAAACAGGUUAAUAUUCCUGUACUUGGUGUUACUGCGAAGGGGGGACGGAGAAGGCUAUGUUGGCCGGGCGACGGUUGUCCCGGUUUAAGCGUGUAGGCUGGUUUUCCAGGCAAAUCCGGAAAAUCAAGGCUGAGGCGUGAUGACGAGGCACUACGGUGCUGAAGCAACAAAUGCCCUGCUUCCAGGAAAAGCCUCUAAGCAUCAGGUAACAUCAAAUCGUACCCCAAACCGACACAGGUGGUCAGGUAGAGAAUACCAAGGCGCUUGAGAGAACUCGGGUGAAGGAACUAGGCAAAAUGGUGCCGUAACUUCGGGAGAAGGCACGCUGAUAUGUAGGUGAAGUCCCUCGCGGAUGGAGCUGAAAUCAGUCGAAGAUACCAGCUGGCUGCAACUGUUUAUUAAAAACACAGCACUGUGCAAACACGAAAGUGGACGUAUACGGUGUGACGCCUGCCCGGUGCCGGAAGGUUAAUUGAUGGGGUUAGCGCAAGCGAAGCUCUUGAUCGAAGCCCCGGUAAACGGCGGCCGUAACUAUAACGGUCCUAAGGUAGCGAAAUUCCUUGUCGGGUAAGUUCCGACCUGCACGAAUGGCGUAAUGAUGGCCAGGCUGUCUCCACCCGAGACUCAGUGAAAUUGAACUCGCUGUGAAGAUGCAGUGUACCCGCGGCAAGACGGAAAGACCCCGUGAACCUUUACUAUAGCUUGACACUGAACAUUGAGCCUUGAUGUGUAGGAUAGGUGGGAGGCUUUGAAGUGUGGACGCCAGUCUGCAUGGAGCCGACCUUGAAAUACCACCCUUUAAUGUUUGAUGUUCUAACGUUGACCCGUAAUCCGGGUUGCGGACAGUGUCUGGUGGGUAGUUUGACUGGGGCGGUCUCCUCCUAAAGAGUAACGGAGGAGCACGAAGGUUGGCUAAUCCUGGUCGGACAUCAGGAGGUUAGUGCAAUGGCAUAAGCCAGCUUGACUGCGAGCGUGACGGCGCGAGCAGGUGCGAAAGCAGGUCAUAGUGAUCCGGUGGUUCUGAAUGGAAGGGCCAUCGCUCAACGGAUAAAAGGUACUCCGGGGAUAACAGGCUGAUACCGCCCAAGAGUUCAUAUCGACGGCGGUGUUUGGCACCUCGAUGUCGGCUCAUCACAUCCUGGGGCUGAAGUAGGUCCCAAGGGUAUGGCUGUUCGCCAUUUAAAGUGGUACGCGAGCUGGGUUUAGAACGUCGUGAGACAGUUCGGUCCCUAUCUGCCGUGGGCGCUGGAGAACUGAGGGGGGCUGCUCCUAGUACGAGAGGACCGGAGUGGACGCAUCACUGGUGUUCGGGUUGUCAUGCCAAUGGCACUGCCCGGUAGCUAAAUGCGGAAGAGAUAAGUGCUGAAAGCAUCUAAGCACGAAACUUGCCCCGAGAUGAGUUCUCCCUGACUCCUUGAGAGUCCUGAAGGAACGUUGAAGACGACGACGUUGAUAGGCCGGGUGUGUAAGCGCAGCGAUGCGUUGAGCUAACCGGUACUAAUGAACCGUGAGGCUUAACCUUACAACGCCGAAG